GCCCAAGCAAGCCAGGAAGGAGGAGGCAGCCAGAGUGUUCUCUGCAGCAGAAGACCCCUUGCUGCCCUGCUUAACCCAGACCAACAUUUGCCAGAUGUGGAGGGUUUUCCUUAUCAACCAUUUGCCAUUUGAGAGUUUGGUUUAACAUGAAUGGAUCUGCAGGGUGGGACCACACCUUUGAAGCUGGAGGACAUCAGUAUAUGGCCAUGCUGACAGGAUAUGCAAAUUUAUAGGAUUACCAAGCCUGGUCUUUAGAAAUUGCUUGAUUCACUUCCACAGACCUCUCACUUUUCAUUUUGGACAAAGGAGCACAGAGAGGAGGAGGAGAUUGAAUUCUAGAAUUGAAGCUUUGACUGUCAUCCUACAUGAUCAACAGAACAAGGAAACAUGGGACUUGAGAUCUGAAAGCUGCUUUCGAUUCGAUCUCCAGAGAAAGACUAUGGGCAAAGCUGCAUGAGCUAUCUUUGGAUAAGCACAUGUUAGUGCUGAUUUACAAGCUUCAUGAGAACACCCGCCUAAGAGUCCACCUGAGUGCACAGGGCCAAGUCUCGGCUGAAAUUCCCAAUUCCAGAGGGGGAGCACGUUCCACAACCCAGGGGCGAUAACUGAGAAGGCCCAAUCCCAGAUUUCCACCAGAUGAAUUGGCACCUGAAGAUGGAUCCCUCCUGAUGAUCUUAAUGAGUGGUGAAGAUCUUGUAGAGAAAGGCACUCUCUCAGGUAACCCGGGCCGGACCUAAGCCAUCCAGGGCUUUAAAGGUAAUAACCAGUA
Long non-coding RNA from Hemicordylus capensis (graceful crag lizard), 769 nucleotides. RefSeq lists it as uncharacterized. NCBI's taxonomy places the organism in Eukaryota, Metazoa, Chordata, Lepidosauria, Squamata, Cordylidae. The transcript is spliced from 7 exons. The record is from RefSeq and is a predicted model, not a curated record.